AAUAGAUACCCGGGUAGUCCACGCCGUAAACGAUGAGUGCUAAGUGUUAGAGGGUUUCCGCCCUUUAGUGCUGCAGCUAACGCAUUAAGCACUCCGCCUGGGGAGUACGGCCGCAAGGCUGAAACUCAAGGGAAUUGACGGGGGCCCGCACAAGCGGUGGAGCAUGUGGUUUAAUUCGAAGCAACGCGAAGAACCUUACCAGGUCUUGACAUCCUCUGCCAACCCUAGAGAUAGGGCGUUCCCCUUCGGGGGACAGAGUGACAGGUGGUGCAUGGUUGUCGUCAGCUCGUGUCGUGAGAUGUUGGGUUAAGUCCCGCAACGAGCGCAACCCUUGAUCUUAGUUGCCAGCAUUCAGUUGGGCACUCUAAGGUGACUGCCGGUGACAAACCGGAGGAAGGUGGGGAUGACGUCAAAUCAUCAUGCCCCUUAUGACCUGGGCUACACACGUGCUACAAUGGAUGGUACAAAGAGUAGCGAACCCGCGAGGGUAAGCCAAUCUCAUAAAGCCAUUCUCAGUUCGGA
This 522-nucleotide ribosomal RNA is filed under the name uncultured bacterium. RNAcentral's name for it is "bacterial SSU rRNA". It matches the Rfam family "Bacterial small subunit ribosomal RNA", at positions 777 to 1297 of the family's 1533-position model. The record is from RNAcentral.